AAUGAGAAUGGAGAAGGUCCAGGACACGUGGGUGGGGGAAGUUGAGCGCUGAGACCAAGGGCUAAAGCUGGGAGACUGAAAAAAUGCAGACCGCCGGGGCAUUAUUCAUUUCUCCAGCUCUGGUAAGGUGCCGCGCCGCGGUGCUCUGUAGUACCAGGUGUAUGGUGUGGACGCCAUCAGUGUUUAAUGAAUGAACCCAGGGGAGCUUGGCGUCCUGAUGAUGUAGGCUCUUUGAGGUGGCUGUAGGAUGUGAUGAAGGUAACCCCUGUUUAUCUGGGCCUGUGAACCAAGCUAUCUUGGCUUUGGAAUGUGGUCAGAGAUUCUGGAUUUGAUUUUUAUCCCCAGUCUGGCCUGGCCAUAGAGACAGCCCACUAAAACAGUGGUUUUCAACAGUGGCUGCACGUUAGAAUCAUCCAGGGAACUUUUUAUAAUCCUGAUGCCUAGGCUGCACCUUAGACCAUUUGCAUCAGACUUUGGGAAUGGGGGUGGAACCCAGGCAUCUGUAUCUUUUAGACUUCUCCAGAUGAUUCCACUGUGCAGCCAAGUUUGAGAACCACUGCACUAAAAAUUAUUUCAAAAAAGCCAUGUUACAGAUGGCUCUCCUUGGAUGGCUAUUCCAGUCGGUUUCCGGGGCUGACUGGCCCACUCCAUUUAGGGUGUGUAGCUGUGAGUGUAUUUUAGCAGAAUAAAAUUUCCCCCAUCUGAUUACUUGGUGAUCUGGGUAUAAACCUUUCCUGUACCUGCUUUGGUAUUAGUGUGGGUUCUUGUUCCAUUCUGGGAAGCUGAUUAAGGCUGUGCCCAAAGAAGUGAACUUUGGUUUGGUUUUGAAUGGUGAAGGUUGCCACUGCUGACUAUAUCAAGCUAUUGAGACAGCUGUCUCUGGGGCAGGCCUAUCUGAUAGGAACAGGAAUAAAUUGACCUUGAAAUACAUUGAACUUAUUCUGUUUAUGAAAUCUGUAGUCAUUUUUGACAGCUCAGCAAUUAGGAUUUUUUUUCCUUGACUGAUUUGGUAGGAUGUGGCUUUCUGAUUUUACAGAUCCGCUGUUGUACCAGGGGUCUAAUCAGGCCUGUGUCUGCCUCCUUCUUGAAUAGCCCAGUGAAUUCAUCUAAACAGGUAAGGGAGGAAUAGCUCUCUUAGGAAUGUUCCCAAGGCCCAGGGUGGUGGCUCACACCUGUAAUCCCAGCUCUUUGAGAGGCUGAGGCGAGAGGAUCACUUGAGCCCAGUUGUUCAAGACCAGCCUGGGCAACACAGUGAAACCCCAUCUCUACAAAAAAAAAAAAAAAAAAAAAAAAAUUAGCCAUGUGUGGUGGCAUGUGGCUGUAGUCCCAGUUACUCCAAGGCUGAGAUGAGAGGAUUGGUUAAUCCCAGAGGUCGAGACUGCUGUGACUAUGCCACUGCACUCCAGACUGGGUGACAGAGCAAGACCCUGACUCAUAAAAACCCAUUAAUUAAUUUUUUUUAAAUCAAGGAAUGUUCCCAGACAGGGGUCCUUCAGCUUAAGUUGCCUUUAGACCAAAGUGGGAGGAGAGUUGGAGAAUCUGUAUGCUUUAAUAGUUCUAAGUCCCCCAAGGUAAGCCUUGUAGGUAAGAAACUUAUAAAAGUGAGGUGUGCCUAACCCAUGAAAUUUCCCUAGUCCUGUCUGACAACAGACUCUAAGACUAAUUCCCAGCAUACUCUGCAAUCAGAGUAUUCUGCAUUUACCAGGCAGUUUGCCAACGGUGUCAGAGCUCAGGUGGGUGGGGUGAAGGAGGUAGAGUCAGCCACCUGUCCUUAUGCCAUACUAUCUCUCUGCUAUCUUGCCUGCCUUGCUUCUCUUUCUAGCCUUCCUACAGCAACUUCCCACUCCAGGUGGCCAGACGGGAGUUCCAGACCAGUGUUGUCUCCCGGGACAUUGACACAGCAGCCAAGUUUAUUGGUGCUGGGGCAGCCACAGUUGGUGUGGCUGGUUCAGGGGCUGGCAUUGGAACCGUGUUUGGCAGCUUGAUCAUUGGCUAUGCCAGGAACCCGUCUCUCAAGCAGCAGCUCUUCUCCUAUGCCAUUCUCGGCUUUGCCCUGUCUGAGGCCAUGGGGCUUUUCUGUUUGAUGGUCGCCUUCCUCAUCCUCUUCGCCAUGUGAGGCUCCAUGGGGGGUCACCGGCCUGUUGCUGCUGCAACUCCACACCAUUCUUGGUGCUGGGGUGUGCUAAGCUUUACCAUUAAACACAACGUUUCUCU
Molecule: small RNA, 2214 nt
Filed under: Pan troglodytes (chimpanzee)
Lineage: Eukaryota; Metazoa; Chordata; Mammalia; Primates; Hominidae
Description: retained intron
Source: RNAcentral